RNAcentral lists this ribosomal RNA (253 nucleotides) under uncultured bacterium. Its description in RNAcentral is "partial 16S ribosomal RNA". It matches the Rfam family "Bacterial small subunit ribosomal RNA", at positions 524 to 776 of the family's 1533-position model. The record is from RNAcentral.
UACGUAGGGUGCAAGCGUUGUCCGGAAUUAUUGGGCGUAAAGAGCUCGUAGGCGGUCUGUCACGUCGGCUGUGAAAACCCGAGGCUCAACCUCGGGCCUGCAGUCGAUACGGGCAAACUAGAGUACUGCAGGGGAGACUGGAAUUCCUGGUGUAGCGGUGGAAUGCGCAGAUAUCAGGAGGAACACCGGUGGCGAAGGCGGGAUCCUGGGCCAGUACUGACGCUGAGGAGCGAAAGCGUGGGGAGCAAACAGG